AACAGGAUUAGAUACCCUGGUAGUCCACGCCCUAAACGAUGUCUACUAGUUGUCGGGUCUUAAUUGACUUGGUAACGCAGCUAACGCGUGAAGUAGACCGCCUGGGGAGUACGGUCGCAAGAUUAAAACUCAAAGGAAUUGACGGGGACCCGCACAAGCGGUGGAUGAUGUGGUUUAAUUCGAUGCAACGCGAAAAACCUUACCCACCUUUGACAUGUACGGAAUCCUUUAGAGAUAGAGGAGUGCUCGAAAGAGAACCGUAACACAGGUGCUGCAUGGCUGUCGUCAGCUCGUGUCGUGAGAUGUUGGGUUAAGUCCCGCAACGAGCGCAACCCUUGUCAUUAGUUGCUACGAAAGGGCACUCUAAUGAGACUGCCGGUGACAAACCGGAGGAAGGUGGGGAUGACGUCAAGUCCUCAUGGCCCUUAUGGGUAGGGCUUCACACGUCAUACAAUGGUACAUACAGAGGGCCGCCAACCCGCGAGGGGGAGCUAAUCCCAGAAAGUGUAUCGUAGUCCGGAUUGGAGUCUGCAACUCGACUCCAUGAAGUUGGAAUCGCUAGUAAUCGCGGAUCAGCAUGUCGCGGUGAAUACGUUCCCGGGUCUUGUACACACCGCCCGUCACACCAUGGGAGCGGGUUUUACCAGAAGUGGGUAGCCUAACCGUAAGGAGGGCGCUCACCACGGUAGGAUUCGUGACUGGGGUGAAGUCGUAACAAGGUAACC
Molecule: ribosomal RNA, 725 nt
Filed under: uncultured bacterium
Lineage: Bacteria
Description: bacterial SSU rRNA
Rfam family: Bacterial small subunit ribosomal RNA
Source: RNAcentral